UCCGGUGACGUAACGGACCCGCGCCGGAAGAAAUGCGUGCGCCACGCGUCGCGCUUCCGGGCACUGCAUCCCCGGCAAGUGGGUCGUGGAGGCGGUGGCGGUAGGGGCGACAGGGAAGUGCCUUUUUAAACACAAAUGGGUGAUGAAAAGGAAUCUUGGAAAGUGAAAACGUUAGAUGAAAUUCUUCAGGAGAAGAAACGUCGCAAGGAGCAAGAGGAGAAAGCAGACACAAAGCGCCUCAAAAAUUCUGAUGAUCGGGACUCGAAGCGCGAUUCCCUUGAAGAGGGAGAGCUGAGAGAUCACCGCAUGGAGAUAACUAUCCGGAAUUCACCUUACAGGAGGGAAGACUCUAUGGAAGACCGGGGAGAAGAGGACGACUCCCUGGCAAUCAAACCCCCCCAGCAAAUGUCACGGAAGGAGAGAGCACACCACAGAAAAGACGAGAAGAGGAAAGAGAAGCGGCGUCAUCGCAGUCACUCGGCAGAAGGGAAGCAUGCUAGGGUGAAAGAGAAGGAGCGCGAGCAUGAACGUAGGAAAAGGCACCGCGAAGAGCAGGAUAAGGCCCGCCGUGAAUGGGAGAGGCAGAAAAGGAGGGAAUUGGCUAGGGAGCAUUCCCGGAGAGAGAGGGACCGCCUGGAGCAGCUUGAGCGGAAGAGGGAGCGAGAGAGGAAAAUGAGAGAGCAGCAGAAAGAGCAGCGGGAGAUCAAGGAACGGGAGAGGCGAGCGGAGGAGAGGCGUAAAGAACGGGAGGCCAGACGAGAGAUUUCAGCACACCACAGGACUGUGAGAGAAGACUACAACGAGAAAGUAAGGAUCUGGAGCCGCAGCCCGCUACGACAACAGAGAGAAAAGCUUGAACAAGGAGAAAUCCGAAAGCCAGUGAAAGAAGAAAAGCCAGAAGAGAGAGACCCCCUUUCUGAUCUACAGGACAUCAGUGACAGCGAAAGAAAAACCAGCUCAGCAGAAACAUCCUCAGGGGAAUCUGGAUCCGGUUCGGAGGAGGAAGAGGAGGAGGAGGAGGAAGAAGAGGAGGAGGAGUCCAGCAGUGAAGAGUCAGAAGAAGAGGAAGAGGAGGAGGAAGAGGAGGAGGAGGAGACAGGAAGCAACUCUGAAGAAGUGACAGAGCAGUCAGCUGAAGAGGUGAGCGAAGACGAAAUGAGCGAAGAAGAAGAGCGGGAGAACGGAGACCACCUCCCAGUGGUUGCAGAGUCAAGGUUUGACCGGGAUUCCGUGGGGAGCGAAGGAGAGGAAGAAGACGCUGGCGAGGGGACCCCGCAAUCCAACACGAUGACGGAGGGCGACUACCUACCUGACUCACCUGUGUCAUCACCUGUGGAGCUGAAGCAAGAGUUGCCCAAGUAUCUACCCGCCCUUCAGGGCUGUCGUAGCGUUGAGGAAUUUCAGUGUCUAAACCGGAUCGAGGAGGGAACAUACGGAGUGGUGUACCGAGCAAAAGACAAAAAAACAGAUGAGAUUGUGGCGCUGAAGCGGCUGAAGAUGGAGAAGGAGAAAGAAGGUUUCCCCAUUACUUCUCUAAGGGAGAUCAACACCAUCUUGAAAGCCCAGCACCCAAAUAUCGUCACUGUCAGGGAAAUUGUCGUCGGCAGCAACAUGGACAAGAUAUAUAUUGUAAUGAAUUACGUGGAGCACGAUCUCAAGAGCCUCAUGGAAACAAUGAAACAGCCAUUCUUGCCAGGGGAAGUGAAAACCUUGAUGAUUCAACUGUUGCGAGGGGUCAAGCAUCUUCACGAUAACUGGAUUCUUCAUCGAGACUUGAAAACCUCCAACCUGCUAUUGAGCCACGCUGGCAUCUUAAAAGUUGGAGACUUUGGGCUGGCCCGAGAGUACGGAUCGCCUCUGAAGCCGUAUACCCCUGUCGUCGUGACAUUGUGGUACAGGGCGCCUGAGCUGCUACUUGGAGCCAAGGAAUAUUCCACAGCCGUCGACAUGUGGUCCGUGGGUUGCAUAUUCGGAGAGCUGUUAACCCAGAAGCCGCUGUUUCCAGGGAAGUCGGAUAUUGACCAAAUUAACAAAGUUUUCAAGGAUCUGGGAACCCCCAGUGAGAAAAUCUGGCCUGGGUAUAACGAGCUGCCGGCAGUGAAGAAGAUGACGUUCACAGAAUAUCCUUACAACAACCUCCGCAAGCGGUUUGGGGCACUCCUCUCAGACCAGGGAUUUGAUCUCAUGAAUAAGUUCCUGACGUACUACCCGGGCAGAAGGAUCACCGCUGAAGACGGCUUGAAGCACGAGUAUUUCCAGGAGACGCCGCUGCCCAUCGAACCGUCCAUGUUUCCGACGUGGCCAGCAAAAAGUGAACAGCAGCGAGUGAAACGUGGGACGAGUCCACGGCCGCCAGAGGGGGGCCUAGGAUACAGUCAGCUGGGUGACGACGACCUGAAGGACACCGGCUUCCAUCUUACGACCACAAACCAAGGGGCAUCAGCCGCGGGACCAGGCUUCAGUUUGAAGUUCUAAAGCGUAAGGCGAAGCAGUGCAGGAAGGAGACGGGGAGAAGCCAGAGGGGAAGCGAACACUUUGCUUUUCUGCUCAAGCUGUUGGCAAGCGUGUCGACAAGCGCUCUCCGUGCAAAUCCACUCCUCUCAGGGGGAGGGGUGUGUGUUUGUUUUUUGCAGGAUGUCACCUGCAUAUGUGAAAAACGUUCUUCCUGGAUCUGGCACAAAAAGUCACUGCGAUUCCAUUUUAAGGAUUGGAAUUAAUCUGAAUAGCCAAGGACUCUUUUUUGCAAAAAGAAGAGAAGGCAAAACAAGAAAACAAAAUCCCAACGAACUUGAAUGGUAUUUAAACAGAGAGAGUGGGAUGGCAGCUGACUCGCUCGCAGAGUACAUUUCUGUCAUAUUUUCAUUUAUGCCGCCCCCAUGGACUAGAAUAUCAUCAGGUACCCUCUUUUCUUUUUGUCUCUUCCUGUGGAUCCAAGUUUGUUCUCCAGGUACCUCUGUUGCCUUCCAAGAUCUGACGAGAACCAGAUCUGAUCAGUGUUUAAAACGCCCAUUUUAAAGCAGAGAUGAGCAUGCGGCCUUCCAGAUGUUGUUGGAAUUCAACUCCCAUCAUCUUGACUGUUGGGCUGUACUGGCUGGGGCUGAUGGGUCUCACAGCAGUUGGAGGGCCGAUGGUUGCCCCCACCCCCUGUUCACCAUCACAGUUGGAAAAACUAGAUGACUCCCCCCCCCAACCAGAAGCCUGCCAUUCUUAGAAUCUCCUUAUCCACAACACAUCCAACCCACCUUGGUUGAAACAUGUAUGGGAUGCACUUUAAAUGUACAGUGUAGAUUUGCCCUAAGACUGUGUGAAAUUGAUUUUCCAGGCUGUCGGCGUGCAAAGAAAUUGGGUGCAGAGUUCUGCAUCUUGAAAAUCUCAGGGAUAACUGCUUCCAUUCGAAAACACCAGCUGUGUGAGAGUUUCUAGUCCUUGUGACGGUGGAAAUAACGCUUGGAAGUAGGUUGGCCAAUGUCUACUGAAAUUGCAUGUGGCAGAAUAAGGUGGCCGGAACCUAGAAACUUGCAGCAGAACAAACCCAGCUCAGCCUUGCCUACUCAGACUGGCAGUUGCCUUCUAAGAUCUCAGGCUGUGACCUUAACCUUGGGACUUUAGGGGAGAGGCAGGUAAGAAAUCUGAUUCAUAAUAAUGAACAAGGAUGAUACUAUUUGAGCAUAUCUAUGCAUGCACUCUUGACAUGUGCUGUAUGCGCAUGCUCCACUGUGAUGUGGCCAAUUUUUUUGGUCACAUGAAGCUCGUGGUCAGAAUCAGGUUCAUAUUCCUCCUUUAACUUUUAUUUUUGUACGUUCACCAAGCAAGGCAUUUUGUUUUGAUCCUGAAGUGUUGUGCUGGGUGUGAAACCAGCAGAGGGGAGCGUGGGGUUUUUUUUUGGUACUUUUGCGGAAGAAAUAUAAUCAUGACUUGUACAUAGUGUGUUCAUGUAACGUCAAUGGUUUUGCUACUCUGCUGGAAAAUGUACAGAUAUUUAUACUUGUGUACAGCUCAAAUGUUUUUUGGGACUUCGCAACAUUCCGUUGGACGUGUUGAAAUAUGUAAAUGCACAAAUUCAGACUGUGUGUGUGUGUAGAAGCCAGCCUACUGCACCCAAAGGUAAUAUUUACAUUCAUAGCUCCACCCACUUUUGUCUUUGGCCCCACCCACCUCUGGCAGGUGGCCCUUUGGCAGAAAAGGGUUGCCCACUGGGUGCUCUAGGGAUGUCCUCGUAAACUGGCCAUUGUAGUCAGAGUAGGCCCAUUGAAAUCAAUAGACCUCAGGCUGGUUAAUUUUAGUGGGUCUACUCUGAUUAGGGCCACACCCAUACCACACACCUUCCCCCAAAGAAUCCUGGGAACUGCUGUUUCUUAAGGCUGCUGGGAACUGUAGUUCUUGGGGCAGGGAGAAGCCAUAUACUCAAAAUGUGUGUUAGAUUUGUGGUAUGGAUGCGACCUGGGACUUGUUCGCUUGUUUGUUUGUAAGUUGCUUUGGGUUGGGGCUAAUAAAUAAAAACGUUAGAUACAA
Molecule: RNA transcript, 4512 nt
Organism: Podarcis raffonei (Aeolian wall lizard)
Lineage: Eukaryota; Metazoa; Chordata; Lepidosauria; Squamata; Lacertidae
Gene name: cyclin-dependent kinase 11B-like
Exons: 21
Source: RefSeq, a predicted model, not a curated record